UCGGGAAUUUUGGGCAAUGGGGGAAACCCUGACCCAGCAACGCCGCGUGAGGGAUGAAGGCCUUCGGGUCGUAAACCUCUGUCAGGAGGGAAGAAGGUCCUCGGGGUGAACAAUCCCGGGGAAUUGACGGUACCUCCGAAGGAAGCGCCGGCUAACUCCGUGCCAGCAGCCGCGGUAAUACGGAGGGCGCAAGCGUUGUUCGGAAUCAUUGGGCGUAAAGCGCGUGUAGGCGGUCGGGUCAGUCGGGUGUGAAAGCCCGGAGCUCAACUCCGGAACUGCACUCGAUACUGCCAGGCUAGAGUCCCGGAGAGGGUGGUGGAAUUCCCGGUGUAGAGGUGAAAUUCGUAGAUAUCGGGAGGAACACCAGUGGCGAAGGCGGCCACCUGGACGGUGACUGACGCUGAGACGCGAAAGCGUGGGGAGCAAACAGG
Molecule: ribosomal RNA, 431 nt
Filed under: uncultured delta proteobacterium
Lineage: Bacteria; Deltaproteobacteria
Description: bacterial SSU rRNA
Rfam family: Bacterial small subunit ribosomal RNA
Source: RNAcentral